UAGUCACAACAAUUUUCGAAAUGCACUCGCUUUUUUAUUUUUUAUACAAAAUGGCUACCUGACAAACUAGACCCUUAAUUAUCCUCCUAAUGAGAGAGAAUUGGUUUCACGUAAAAUUUGAGUUAGUCUAUUUGCAUCAAAUCUCUAUGUUUUGAGACCCCCUGAGUCACAGAAAACGAAUUUCACGAACAUUUUUGUCUGUAUGGCUAUUUGUAGUACUGCAAAUUUGUUAUACAUUGUUUUUUGAUAAGGCGAAAGAGAAAUAACAAAAGAGAAUUCAUAAUCACGAAUAUUCAUGUGUCAAUGGUUCGACCUUCAAUGUUAAAAAUCCUAUUACAAAAAUGUAGCAUAUAUCCCGCGUGAUUUUAAAUACGAAAUUGGGUGUCAAAAUUGUGUUAUUAAUAAUAAUACACUUAUCGCGAUAGGGUUAUAAAUUCUGAUAAAUUAUCUCAAUAAAUGGAAAAAGAGCUAGUAAUGAAUUUAUCUCCUUUUGUUUUCUGAGGUGAUAUGCAAAUUCGGGUUUGAAUGUCGUCAAUUGAAAUGUGAAAAAAAUUAAGGUUUUCUGCUUGAUAACAUUUGCUAGGCAUAUUACAAAACAUUAUACUUAAACAUUCUCAAUUUCAGCAAAAUAACGAAAGACUUAUUUUCGAAAGAAAAAAUGUUCAAAGUUCCACGUUUCAGCACUAACUUCACAUUAAAUUUUUUACUUUUAAUCUUAAUUUUCUACUACCCCCCCCCCUCCAACCCCCUCUCUUGGAAUGGUUUGCCUUGCAACCAUUCAACUGUGACCAGGUUACAGGAUGAUUGUCCCCUCGCUUCUGCCAUUCAUACCAAAGUCGUGUGCUGAAAACUACUGCACAUGUAUAGCAACAAUUUUUUCGUCACUGAUGUGGGUUUUCUGCCCUGAGGAUGUAACAUUUAUUAAGCAAACAAAGAUCGAACCAAAGCUCAAAGCGGGAGAAGAGAAACCAGUUACUGCUGAAUUUCCUGAUUUUUUUCAACUCGAAAAAGCAGCAAUUAAGUGGAAUUAUACAACCCAACCAGAAGAAGGAUCGUACUUGAUAAACAAAGGAUGCAGCCUGCCGUAUUGAAAAAUCGUUCAACAGAACCCAAUCUAUGAUGAAACGGGGGGUAUCAAACAGUAUCAAAAUCUCCUAUUCUCUCGCCAUCAAGAAAAAUAAUGAAAGAAGCUUUCAACGAACUCGGUUAUCCAACGAUAGAUGUUAAAGGCGCAAGUCAAUCAGGAAUAACUAAUACACAAUUAACUACAGACAAUGGAGUUCGUAAAAGUACCAAUGCAGCAUUUAUUCGUCCAAUCAGGGGAACAAGGCCCAACCUAAUUGUUAAGAAUGAGAUCUACGUAACUAGAAUUUUGAUAAAUCCGUGUUCAGAAAAAACUAAUGGGGUUGAAUAUACAUAUAUAAAAACUGGUAUUACUGAGGUAGGUCAGCUGGUGCUAUAAACUCGCCAAGGCUACUAAUUGUUUCGGGUGUGGGACCAGAUGAGGAACUUGAAAAACAUGGAAUCAAAGUCAUUCAGAAUUUAUCGGUCGGAGAAAAUCUUCAGGAUCAUAUAUCUACUGAAAGAGUAUUUGGAAUAAGAAUAACUUUGAAUUCAGAUGAUAAUAUUGACGAAUGUGAAGAGAAAUUUUAAAACUUUAGUUAUUAUGCAGAAGCGCAAAAAGGUACUUUUUCCAUUGUAACACCAGCGUAUCUCAGUGGUUUUGUCCGCUCUAAUUCAGGGUAUCGGAAUUGUACUUAGUAUAUUCAAUACCACAAUUAUAAAAAAGUAUAAAUUCGAAAUUGAUGAUACCCCUAUGCGUCCUUGCGAUAAAUUAAAAUUUAACUCAGAUGAAUAUUGGAUGUGUGUGGUAAGAUAGUUAGGGUUUUCUGUUCGUCAUCUUGUUGGAACAUGCAAAGUGGGUCCUAGGGAGAUUCGAAAGCUGUUGUUGAUCCAAGGUUACAAGUUUAUGGAAUGAAGGGAUUAAGAGUUAUCUACGCAUCUGUUAUUCCAGUU
This is a long non-coding RNA of Belonocnema kinseyi, 2016 nucleotides long. RefSeq lists it as uncharacterized. The transcript has 3 exons. NCBI's taxonomy places the organism in Eukaryota, Metazoa, Arthropoda, Insecta, Hymenoptera, Cynipidae. The record is from RefSeq and is a predicted model, not a curated record.